AUUUCUGCUCUGGGGACUGCCUCCCUCCCCUACAUCAGAGCCAGCCCUCAAAAGCUUGGCCAAGCUGACCACUCUGUCUGUGAUCUCUGCCAGAGAGGCUGAAAGAACAUCCAGCCCCACCUGUGGCCCCUUCCCACCUCAGGCUAUAUGACAGUAUGACACCCCACCUAUUUUUUUUCGUUUCCACUGGAAACACUAGUAAAACAAUUUUUCACCCUCUACCCCAGGGAGCGACCCCCACUAAACCAGCUGACUUGUGACCCCUGGGUCAAUUUUGGCCAGAAGAUGCUGCUGACACCAUACAGAGAGCCUGAGCACCUGGGCCCCCUACAAGCCUGGUCAUGGUGCCCCUGGGAUUUCAGGCCCCAUGCAUUUCCGAAUCAGUAUUUCCCCCACAAAAAAAUAUGCAUGUGGCCGGGCGCGGUGGCUCACGCCUGUAAUCCCAGCACUUUGGGAGGCCGAGGCGGGUGGAUCACGAGGUCAGGAGAUCGAGACCAUCCUGGCUAACACGGUGAAACCCCGUCUCUAUUAAAAAUACAAAAAAUUAGCCGGGCGUGGUAGCGGGCGCCUGUAGUCCCAGCUACUCGGGAGGCUGAGGCAGGAGAAUGGCGUGAACCCGGGAGGCGGAGCUUGCAGUGAGCCGAGAUCGCGCCACUGCACUCCAGCCUGGGCGACAGAGCGAGACUCCGUCUCAAAAAAAAAAAAAAAAAAAAAAAAAAUAUAUAUAUAUAUAUAUAUGCAUGUAAUUAUCCAAUGGCCACGUACCUAAUCCUGGGGUACAGGAAAAGUGCAGAGGAAGAAGGGCUCCAUCACUGGAGCACAGUCCCUUCCUCCUGGGGGUCCCACCUGUUCUUCCCCAUCUGACAAAGUCCACCUUCCCCAUGGAACCAAAGAGGGCUCAAAGGGAGCCAGCUGUUCACACUUUUUAAUUUUCAGCUGCCUGAGGAGGGCCAGAAGUCAGGGCAGAAGACCACCAUUCCUGCCCCAGAACUCUUCCUGGGCCUGGGGGUGCCAGUGCCCCACCAUGGACAUAUGGAGCUUCCAUGUCAUUCUCUAUUCCAUGGUGGCUGGGCCCUGCCCUUCUACUCAGGGAGCCCUACAGACCUCAAUAAUAAAACUAUCACAAGAAAAUACCAUGCCCCACCAUUUUUUCCCUUCAACUUGAAAGACUGAUUAAAAAGUUAUUAACACUAGACCCCAGGGAGCAGCCCCCCACUGGAAUAACUGAUGAGGGACCCAUGGGAGAACAGUGGUCGGGAGAUGCCAGUGAUACCAUAUGAAGUGCCACUCCUGGACCACCCGAGCCACAAACAACUCAGCUCAUGAUGGUCAUGGGAUUCCAGGCUGAGAACAUCUCCGUGUCAAUAGUAGAAAGAAAAUUCAACUAUCCCAUGGCCCCAUACCUCAUUUUAGAGCAUCCAAAACAAAAGAGGAAGCACUCUACCCUCAGAGAACUGUCCCUUCCUCCUGGGGUUCCCACCUGUCUUUCCCUAUCCACCGAAGUUUCCACCUUCCUGCUCCCACUGAAAUGGACUCACAGCAAGCCAGCUUGUCACACUUUUAAAAUUCAGCUGCCCAAGGACAGCCAGAAGUCAGGGCAGAAGACCACCAUUCCUGCCAGUGCACCUGCUGGCCUGCAGAGGAAGCCAGACAGUUUUAGUGAAGCCCCCAGCAUGACCCUGUGGCCUCCCCCUCCACUCAGAGCACCAGAAGCAGUGACAGAGACCCAGAAACGUCCCUGGCCCAGCGAGAACCAUCGCAGGAAGCCAGCUUCCUCCAAGCUGGGCAGCCAGAGGCUGUGACGUCAGCCUCACCAAGAAACCAGGGCUGCCGCAGGGCUGCCAGAAGAUGACUUUCAUUUCUGCUAAGAUUCGGUCACUUGAGCCCAGCGCAGAACAUUCCAACCAAUAAAAUCACCCCAAAGAAGUAGUUGGACGGCAGUAGUGAAGACAAAAACCAAAUUGGAGAGGACGAAGGCCCUGAGGUCCAAGAACAUUGAAACCUGACAGUGGAUGCCAACAGCUGCGGGGAGGAGCCUGGUGAGACGCCCACGCUGCCACGUGCCCAGCAACGUUGGAGCCUGCAGCGCUUUUCCUCUGCCCUGCUCUAUUUUAUCUUUUUUAAUAAAGAUGGUUCCUGAUAAA
Long non-coding RNA from Pan troglodytes (chimpanzee), 2144 nucleotides. RefSeq lists it as uncharacterized. The record is from RefSeq and is a predicted model, not a curated record. The transcript has 2 exons. Lineage: Eukaryota; Metazoa; Chordata; Mammalia; Primates; Hominidae.